This 306-nucleotide unclassified non-coding RNA is filed under the name Hevea brasiliensis (rubber tree). The record is from RNAcentral. Lineage: Eukaryota; Viridiplantae; Streptophyta; Magnoliopsida; Malpighiales; Euphorbiaceae.
UAAUUAAUUAAAAGCUCAAGCACAGCAAUAGGAGGACCACUGCUCUUCAUCACCACCAGCAACAUCAGCAGCGUCCUCGUUGCCAUAGUAUAAACCACCAUUAUUCAAAGCAGUCAGUGAACAUGAUCCCACAAGGUAAGGCAUGUUGUGGAAGGAGCGAGCAAGGCUGCUAGCUAAUGCAGCAUUGCCCAUACCAUGAUCACUCUCGCAGCCAUCGUCACUGUCUUCGUCAUGGAGGCAAAGUUCUUCAGCACGGUGCUUGAGGGUCUCGAACAUGAGCUCAGGCUCGUGCUGCAUAACCCGGAG